UACGGUCAUAUCAUAUUGAAACACCAGUUCUAGUACGAUCACUGAAGUUAAGCAACGUCGAGCCUGGUUAGUACCUAGAUGGGUGACCGCUUGGGAAUACCAGGUUCUGUAA
Non-coding RNA from Acanthosepion pharaonis, 112 nucleotides. Lineage: Eukaryota; Metazoa; Mollusca; Cephalopoda; Sepiida; Sepiidae. The record is from the annotation of a GenBank genome assembly.